RNAcentral lists this transfer RNA (85 nucleotides) under Felis catus (domestic cat). It matches the Rfam family "tRNA". Rfam says of the family: Transfer RNA (tRNA) molecules are approximately 80 nucleotides in length. Their secondary structure includes four short double-helical elements and three loops (D, anti-codon, and T loops). Lineage: Eukaryota; Metazoa; Chordata; Mammalia; Carnivora; Felidae. The record is from Rfam by way of RNAcentral. RNAcentral also lists the same sequence under 2 other names.
GCCUAGGUGGCUCAGUCUGUUAAGCGUCUGACUUUGGCUCAGGUCACGAUCUCUCAAUUUGUGGGUUCAAGCCCCACGUCAGGCU